UUAUUAUUAUUAUUAUUAUUAUUAUUAUUAUUAGAGUAUAACUGACAUGCAGUGUUAUAUUAGUUCUGGGUUUAUAACAGUGAUUUCAACAAUUCUUCACAUUCCUCAGUGUUCACCAUGGAACGUGUAGUCUCCAUCUGUUGCCAUGUGAUGACAUCACAGUGUUGUUGACUCUAGUCCCUAUGCUGUAAUUUUCGUCUCUGUGACUUAUUUAUUUUUUAUAACUGGAAGUUUAUACCUGUUAAUCUUCUAUAUUUCAUUUUUGUAGGAGCACUCUAGCUGCUGUGUCAAGAGACAUACUGAGAGCUUGGAAGGAGGGAGUGGCACCAGAAAUGGAGAUAAAGGGAAGGCCACAGAGAGAAUUUUAGGGAAAAAAAAAAAAAAAAACCAUUGCAGGGAACUCACCCUUGGGAUUAUGGCUCCAGUGGGUCGGUGGCAGCACUGCUCAUGAUGAAGAGAACACCAAAGGGGGUGAGGUUGAUGUGGGGAGCAUGGCAGCGAUGGCACAGGAAGCAGAUGACCCUGCCUGGAGGGAGUCAGCAAACCCUCCACCGAGGAGGUGCAGAGAUUCUGGGCCUUGAAGAAGGAACCGAAGAAGGAACCCACUUUUCUUCAUUUACACUUUCCCACUUUCUCAGUCGAAGAAGGGAAAGGGCAUGUUCCCUAGUCUUAGGGAACAGCAUAUGCAAAGAUUCGGAUCAAAGUUAAGAGACAACACAAACGGGUGAAGAAAUCGCUACUUGUUGAGUUUUGAGAACCAUACCAAAGAGGACAGAAGAAGUUGUUGAGACGCUCCUCCCUUCUUGGGUUCCAUAGCUGUGUGAGUGGGUUUUCUUCACCUGCUUCCGUCAAAACAAUGCACUGCAAAAAAUAAUAAUAAUAAUAAUAAAAAUAAAUAAAUAUAUAAAUAAAAUUUAAAAAUUAAAAAAAAAAAAAAAAACACUGCACCGCAAUACACCGAAGGCAGAAACAGACUCCAGUUGUCUUCCGUUCAGCCAGCCAUACGGGUGUUUGCAGAAAUGGAAGACAAUGCCACUUUUCUCACUGAAAUUUUUUGUUUGGAAAAAUAUAUUUUAUAAAAAGUAUGUUUUUUUGUGUUAACAUGUAGCAGGCUUAUCAGGCUUCUGAAAGGAGUUAAUAAAUGCAUUUUUAAUUUCUCGGUUUUCUGGAAGAGUACAUGUUGACAGAUAUAACCCGCAUAAACAAAAGCUCUUCAGCAUCCUCGGUAAUUUCUAAAGGUUUACAAGGUCCUGGGAACUGAAUGCUUAAGCACCGGUGAUGUUGACUAUACCCAAGAGCGGAAUUGCCGGGUUGUAAUUUAUCUUUGCUAAGUAUUUCCAAACUAUUCUUCAAAAUGAUUGCAUCUAACUUCCCAUUUGCACUAUAUGAGAAUGCCCAUUGCCUACAUGCUUACCAGCAUUUUGGAAUUGUUUCAACCUUAAAUCUUUUUAUAUCUCAUAGGUGUCAAACUGUUGUUUUGAUUAUAUUUCUCUGAUUAUUGGUGAAACUAUGCAUUUUCCCUGUAUUGUCUCUACAGAUUUUUCUUUUCUUUGAAAAUCCUGCUUAUGGUUUGUUUUUUUGUUUGUUUGUUUUUGUUUUUUUGCACAUUCCUCUAUUGAAUUGUCUCUUCACAUUAAUUGUGGGGGGAAAAAAAAUCACAUUUUCCAGACACGUAUCCUAGUUGGUUUCUCUCCUUUUUUCACCUUUAAGUUUUUAAUUUUGUGUUGAGAUGUAAACUGCAUGUAAUAAAGUGCACGUAUUGUUAA
Canis lupus familiaris (dog) is the source of this 1766-nucleotide long non-coding RNA. RefSeq lists it as uncharacterized. The record is from RefSeq and is a predicted model, not a curated record. NCBI's taxonomy places the organism in Eukaryota, Metazoa, Chordata, Mammalia, Carnivora, Canidae. The transcript is spliced from 2 exons.